This is a non-coding RNA of Vicia faba (fava bean), 297 nucleotides long. NCBI's taxonomy places the organism in Eukaryota, Viridiplantae, Streptophyta, Magnoliopsida, Fabales, Fabaceae. The record is from the annotation of a GenBank genome assembly.
AUGUCAUUUUGUCCAAGUGGCAUUGUAUCUUUGUGUCUGCUCCCAAAGCUAGCUGGUUUUGUCUUUAUGAUUCUCUUUCCUCCUUGCAGAAUUGUAUGUAAUAAUAUAAAUAUUUGUCAAGUUGUUCCAGAUGAUGUUAAUUUGGUAUGCAACACUUGUGUCUGUUUGGUUGACAUGUUGGCGAAAUUUUUGAGAAUGUUUACCAUAAGUGGUUCAAUUACAUUUUGUUUAGGCCUUAAACAGUUGGCAUUGUCACAUGAAAUUAACUGUUUGUGUAGUGGACACCACCCUCAUUAG